GACGUAGGGCGCGAGCGUUGUCCGGAUUUAUUGGGCGUAAAGAGCUCUUAGGCGGCUCGUUGCGUCGGCUGUGAAAACCCGCAGCUCAACUGUGGGCUUGCAGCCGAUACGGGCGGGCUGGGAUUCGGUAGGGGAGACUGGAAUUCCUGGUGUAGCGGUGAAAUGCGCAGAUAUCAGGAGGAACACCGGUGGCGAAGGCGGGUCUCUGGGCCGAUAUCGACGCUGAGGAGCGAAAGCGUGGGGAGCGAACAGG
This 253-nucleotide ribosomal RNA is filed under the name uncultured bacterium. RNAcentral's name for it is "partial 16S ribosomal RNA". It matches the Rfam family "Bacterial small subunit ribosomal RNA", at positions 524 to 776 of the family's 1533-position model. The record is from RNAcentral.